Long non-coding RNA from Venturia canescens, 561 nucleotides. RefSeq lists it as uncharacterized. The record is from RefSeq and is a predicted model, not a curated record. The transcript has 3 exons. NCBI's taxonomy places the organism in Eukaryota, Metazoa, Arthropoda, Insecta, Hymenoptera, Ichneumonidae.
UUGAAUUUUGAAUUAGUGGCGGAAAGGAGACGUCAUGAUAAAUUUCGAUACUAAAGUGGGAAAUCGAAAGUCCAUUUAUAUUAAAUUUAAUCAACAUUGUGAUUAAAUGGAACUGUGCGAAAUAUUGACGAUUAGCUGAGAAAUACAAAGAAAGAUGAUUCGUUUACAGGUCCGGAUCGGGGUCAAAACGCAUUCAAAUGCUCAGAUAUUAAUGCCAAAACUUCCGGCCAAGCCACAUGUGAGUUAUUGCGAGACACCUCACGAAACAAAAUAUGUGCCACGAGUUCUAUUGUGGAGAAGAUCAAUCAAUAUUCCAUCAAUUGAAGUUUUAUGACCCAUUCACUGAAUACGAACGUGUGGUAUCCCCUGUCACCUGCGUCGUAAAUGUUGUUUUUAUAAUGAUGAAAAUGCAUUUCGAACACCGAAGAGGGAAAGAGCGAACGAGAUGUAAAAACAUCUAAAAAGUUGAGAAAUAAAAAAACUCAUAAAACUGGAAUGAACCGGCGGUGUGUACAAAGUCCGGAAACUGUUUGUUCCCUCAAUAAAACAGUAAAAAGUCAA